AGCCCUUGACAUCCCGGUCGCGGAUACCAGAGACGGUGUCCUUCAGUUCGGCUGGACCGGAGACAGGUGCUGCAUGGCUGUCGUCAGCUCGUGUCGUGAGAUGUUGGGUUAAGUCCCGCAACGAGCGCAACCCUCGCCCUUAGUUGCCAUCAUUUAGUUGGGCACUCUAAGGGGACUGCCGGUGAUAAGCCGGAGGAAGGUGGGGAUGACGUCAAGUCCUCAUGGCCCUUACGGGCUGGGCUACACACGUGCUACAAUGGCGGUGACAGAGGGAUGCGAAGGCGCGAGCCUUGGCAAAUCUCAAAAAGCCGUCUCAGUUCGGAUUGGGGUCUGCAACUCGACCCCAUGAAGUUGGAAUCGCUAGUAAUCGCAGAUCAGCACGCUGCGGUGAAUACGUUCCCGGGCC
Molecule: ribosomal RNA, 406 nt
Filed under: uncultured bacterium
Lineage: Bacteria
Description: bacterial SSU rRNA
Rfam family: Bacterial small subunit ribosomal RNA
Source: RNAcentral